This is a long non-coding RNA of Bombus terrestris (buff-tailed bumblebee), 8791 nucleotides long. RefSeq lists it as uncharacterized. The transcript has 2 exons. The record is from RefSeq and is a predicted model, not a curated record. Lineage: Eukaryota; Metazoa; Arthropoda; Insecta; Hymenoptera; Apidae.
UUUAGGUAGAUGUUUGGGUAGAAUGUUUAUGUAAAUUGAUAUUUCUAUGAACAGAACUAAAGACGCAAAAAUUUGUUUCACCUACUAAAUAUCAUGACGGAUACUGUACUUUGCUUCUUUCGUAUAUAUGUCCGCAUAUUACGUGCAUUAUGUGCAUUUUUACUUUUACGUUUCUUUUAACGCUUCAAUUUGAAUUUAUACGAGGUACCGGGAACAAAGGUGAACUAAGCCAUAUUUUUCUCGAUGCAAGUUUACGUUAUUAACUUAUUGCGAUAAGCUGCUUAAUCGUGAAAAAAUGGAGGAACUCGUUCUUUUUUUCAAAACAAACCUAGAUAACAUAACGACGAUAACAUAACAUAUUGAAUAUUUUAUGUUCACGUUUUUUUAGACAUUUUUAGUAAAUCACUCGAUUUGUUGAGUAAUUGGGAUUCGCACACUUUUGUUUUCAACGUCUAGCGUGUACGUGUAAUCUACUCUUGCUGCUGAUACUUUCGAAGUAAAUCUAGAAGCUCGAAAACUUGAGAAAUUAAUUUAAAAAAUAGAGAUUUUUCAUUUACGUGUAACAGAAGAUCGAUGAAUUAGGUUUUGCACUCGAGGUAAUCUAAUCUGUAGACAUUUUAAAAAAGAAUCGAUUUCUUUUUAAUUUCUCAAGAUACGCGCACAAAGAGAGGAGAGGUUCUAUCACUUUCGAAUAAUGCGAUUGAUUCCAUUCUAUCAAUGAAGGCAUGCCGAUGUUUGCCAACCAUUUCAACGAGCUUCAUUGUCUUUCUUCAAUUUUAUUAUUAGGUUUCAUAGCACGCGCAAACGCAUAACAUAUGCGAAAUGAAAAUAGAUUCAUUGCGCCUCUGUUACCAUGGCCUUCGCUGCAUAUUUGCUUACAAGGUGCGUCUUAAAAGCAUUGUAAACACCGCGUACUCUAUCUACCAGUUGAUUGCGUAUCUCGUUUGGCGCGGAAAGAAUCGAACUCGCCGCAGUGCCACUUGCUUUAUCCAUAGGCUGCUUACUAGAACCAAAUCUAAACCGCUGUUGAUUUACCCCAGUCGCGUGAACACUACAGUAAUUGAAGAAUACUCGUUAAAACAGAUAAUGUUCGAUCAUUUGGAACAUUUAAAAACAAUGUAAAAAUAAGUUUGUUCUUCUUCAAAUACUAUCACGAAGAAAAUACAUAAUGAUGAUUGAAAUGGUUAUUUAUACGCAAGACGAAAAUCAAAAAUGACAAAAGUGCGCCGGAGGUUUCGUGUUUGAAAAAAUCGAGUUUGAAAAUUUACGAGAUACAGGGUACGUGAAUUUGAUCAAUUGUCGGCUGGACAGGAAUGGACAACUGAUAAGAAGUUAUUCUACACAAAUAAAUUGACAAUGAAGAAUAAAAUUUUGUUGUUUACACUCUCGUUUCGGGGACAAUGAAGUCUAGAUAUGUUUUAUUCUACAUUUUUUAUAUGUAUUUCCAUAUGCAAUAUAAUUCAUCGAUUAUAGAUUAUCGACUAUCUACUCGUGUUUAUCUGAGAAUCAAACGGAUUUACGUAUACUUCACAAAUUAUCAAACUCGAUUUUCUCAAAAAACGAAGCCCCCAACGCAGCUUUGUAUGUGUUCAAAUUCUAUUAGUCAUCGCAUGUACAAUCACGAAAAUAUUCUUCAAAUUUAUUGCAGUUACAGGCUAAAACUCGCGAAGAACUGCAAACUUAUAGCGAUGUUAACCGAUGUCGAUGAAACUUUCAGUAUGUAUAUAACUGAUAUAAAUGUCCAAAAUAUGUUGUUUAAAUUUUUUUAAUAUUUCUUUUACACAUUAUCUGCUACUAAUCCUUCUGGCUUCUCAAGAAAGUUCAAGUCGUUUGGUCCAAUUUUUGAACAGUUAUUCUACUUUAAAGAGUGUACAGAUAUUUUCAUGACAGACUAUAGUCAACGCUUACGAUAAGAAUGAAAAAUUGUAAGCCAUAGAAAAACCCAGUGAACUAUUACACGAACGGUCUAGUUAAUUUUUAUUAUCAAUUUAAUCCUACGAUGUAUACCUACCGAUAAAUGAAGUUAAGUUAAAAAAAAAGAAACAGGGAAACUCAUUUCGUUCUUCCUUAAUGUCGUAUCUGGAACGAUGGUUGAAUUAAUAAUACGCCCCGAUCUAACAAUAAACCUCGUAACUCGAACGAGUCUCAUCGACCUCGUUCGAGGACGGAUGAAAAAUAAUCCGAAUAAAAGGAACAAGCAAAAUUCGCCAUUAUCGAAAAUUUCACAAAAAUUCAUUCUGAAAAAGGGAAGAGAGAAGAAUUUUUCAGAAAACGUUUUUAAAAGAGGAAUCGACGAUAGGUAUCUGAUGGACAUGCACGUCGAAUUAACGAAGCAGCCCAUUGAAACGGUACAACAAAAGUCCGAUCGUUCCAUGCGGCGUUAUAUUUACCAGUUGCUUGGGUGUGUUGAAAAAUAUAAAGAGGCACGCUGUGCGUGGUAAUACCAGGCUGUGAUAUUAAAUUCGAUGCAACGAUGGCUCACGGUUGUAGGAAUUUGUUUACAAAUUGAUGAUAGUGGCUCUUCGAUCGUCCGAUGAUUAGUUUCUGUUGAUGGGACCGAGCGAAAGAAAAAUUAUAUAAUUGACGUCGCUCUAUGACCAAGGUGAUGAUGAUCGCUUCAAGCUUUCUGAUGAAACCGACGAGUAGCUUAAUUUUUUUGCGAUACGAUGUUUAUCAUUUACCUCGUCAUUAUAGAUAAUUAGCACAAGAUAUUCGACAUAUCUUCAGAUAUCUCAUAUUGGGACCAUUUUUAACACGUAUUGAAUGCGUUUAAUUUUUUUAUUGGAUAUAUGUUUGCAGUAAAUGUCUUGUAACUUUUAUAUAAAUUUUUAGAUUGAGUUUAAAUUUUACCAAUAUACAUUGCCUAUCAUAAGGAUUAAUAUAUCUACUCGUUGCCAUUGUUGCAGAAGUUUAAUUUUUACUUUGUUUAGUAACUUACAUUGUAAGCCACAUACGAGCCACAGAAGAAUUAACAGACGAAUUAACAGAUUUAUAAUAAAAUAAUGAAAAAAUAAAGGCAUUGCAAGGCAUUCAAUUUAAAUUAACGUCAUGAAGUGUCCAACUACAUAUAACCGGUAAUGUAAUUAUGACAAUCGUGUCUCGAUAUAGUGCUAAUGAAAUUUUAAAAUGUACAAGUUUUCCACAAUGAACGUUUAAAUACUCUUGCAUGCCUGUAUAUGAAAAUCAAAGGGCAGAAAAAUAUAAUAAGGCUAUUUUCCUUAGUUUUCAUAACUUUUAUGUUAUUUUGUGGCUGAAAAGUUAUAUUUUAAUGCGAAAUACACAUUCGAAGAAGCGAGUGAUCUCAUACAUUUGACGAUGCUUAUAAAUCUUUUGAAAAUAGGCGAUAGAUCCACAGUGAUUUUUAAGAAUUAAAUGUUUGUGUAAUUGUCAUGUUGUUUCAAUUAAAUUAAUAGGAAUCUACAAUAACUGCUGUUAUUAACACAUCUUAAAUAUGUAAGAGGAUAAGAAGAACACAUAUUUAAUCCCAAAAUCAAACGCAAACACAACUUUGAUAUGGAAUUGCUUGGCAAUCUAUUCAAUUUUAAUAUUGCUCAUCUAUAAAAGACGAGAAAUAUGAUUUAUCAUGUUUUUCACUUGUGGUUGUGCUCUCUCUAAGAGAAAUGAAAUAUUUAUUUCUUUUUUUUUUUUUCUUUGUAUCGAACGGUCAUCAGAUAUUACGGUUCGUCUUAUUUUUCCCUUUCCAAGUUCUCCCGGUGUACAUAAAAAUCUCGUUAGAGUGAAAUUAAAUCCAGGAAUUUCCAUCGGCGUAUACUUAUCAGCUAUGUUAUAAGGAGUUCGUUUCAUCGUGUAUCUUACUUAUAACGUAUCAUGCUCGCAUGUUUAAUACUCAUUGUUGAACUUUCCAUUACAAAAAGAUAUACGUAGUAUAGUGGUAUACGUAGCAAGGAAACCUCGGAAUAAUCCUAUCAAUAGUAAAAGCUAUCUAGUUAUGUAAACUGUCAAAGUUGUAAACUGUCGCAAUUAAUUUGCGUGUAUUAUAAUCGAGAAGAUUUCUUAUUCGCCAUAAGGCGAAAUGGCAAAUUGACCAAAUUACAUUCAAGGUCUUAGAUAUAAUUUCUUAAUAUUAACUUUAAGCUUUCUAGCUUUUUGAUUAUAUCUUUAAAUUGAUAAUUAUAAAGAAGCUCGUAUAGAACUUAUAAAGAAUCUCUUAGAAAACUUUGUUUCCUAUUUUAUAUUUAGAAAAUAAUUGAAAUUUAAAAUAAUUCAACUGUUUGGCUAGAAGAUACCUACAAGCUCUUUUAUUGGAAAACUCUUCAAUUACGCUACAAUUUCAUUCUUCGUUUUACCUAAAUACCAUUUUUAUCUGAAUUGCACAAAGUAUGUUAAUACAAAUAUUAAAUAAUAAACAUUGGAGUAAAAAACAAGCUAAAUUAUUAUAGAAUAAUCCAUUUUGGUAAUCUUUACAAUCGAUGAUAUAAAUAAUGAUUGAUUAAGAAGCCAAUGGUUUUUACCUUUCUGGCUCUAGUUUUAAUUCGUACAUCUACUAUUCUAUUCGCCACAUAAAUUAUACAAGUGUAAGUUUCCUCAGUCGAUACUAAUUAUUGACAUUCCUUAUCGGAUUAGGAAUGACCCGAUUAUGUACAUAUUCUAGGUACUCUACCGAAAAUAUCGCUCAAAAUAAAUUUCUCGAUCUAUCGAAAUUUCAUACUUGAUAGAUUCUCAUCCGGUUAAUUUUAUCGCGUUCAUGUGAUCUGAAAGACCGCUGACUCGAUUAACCACUUCACAUUCAGAUAAAAGUUAGAGGUAUCUAGAAAAAAACGCAAUACGAGACCGAGUAGAGAAAACGAAACAACAAUAAAAAUGAUAUAUCGUUAUUAUUAAACCGUUAUCGUAAUAUGUUAUUAAAAAAAUCAAAGAAAAUACAUUCGGAAGAAAAAAUUAUCUGCUUGUUCUCUUGCUAAUCAUUCGUAUUAUUCUUCGAGUUAUUAAUUACAAUUUAUCAAGAGGACAAUAUGAAUCAUAUGCGGCUCCACAUUACAUUUAUUAACUUCUCAAUUUCAUUACAUAAAUUCAUUAUUUUUCAUUCAUUGCAUCAAUUUUAUAUUCAUAUUCAUAUUUAUGUUCACAUUCAUAUUCAUGUUCGUAUUCAUAUUCAUAUUGAAUAGUUGAAAGACAAAUAAAUACAUGAAAUCAUAAAACAUAACAGUUGGUUUAGGAAAGUAGAUGAAAUUUUUAAUAAAUUUUUUAUAAGAUGAAAAAGAGGCUGGCCAGUGGUUCGAUUAAUCGAUUCCUAUAUAUGGUAAAAUUUUAAAGAAAUCUGAAUCAAUUAUCUAUAUUAUACAUAUUAAUAAUCCUCGUGGUACAGCGAAACCUUCUUUGAAAGUAAAUUAUUUUUCUAGACUGUAGAGGACUUCAACCUAUCGACAAUUAACAUAGAACACCGUGAAAAUAAAAAUUUCAAGAAACGAUAGAGAUAGCGGACAGUCAAUUAAAGAGGUAGAUAACUUUAAUGAUUUCGCUUCCCUUGAUUUUCAUUUUUUUACGCAAUCGAGGAAAUAAUCACCAGUAACUAUACGUCGCUAGAUUUCUCUCUUGAACUUGGAUUUUAUCAGUUUCCGUUGUUGAACGAUAACAAACAUUUGCUUUUUUUCAAAGAAAUAUGUAUUCAUCUUUUAUGCCAUCUUUAUAUGGCAGUACGAUUAGCAGAGAUUAACUAAUCAAAAAGUUUGCAGAGAUCAGCUAUAAUCAGCUGUGUUAUAUGAAUCAUGCAUCGGUAAAAUUAUUCUUCCUUUUCUUUUAGUAAACAUUUUACAAACAUAUAGAUUUCGUCCAAACAGUGGCUACAGAAAUACUGGUCAUUAUCAAACUGCGGCUUUUUACAGAGAUUUAUAUUUUUAAAAAUAUAAUUGAAAUAGUGUAGCCUUGACAAAAAAUUGUUUUACCCAUCAACUAUUACGCAAAGCACUACACUAUUUCAUAUUUUAUAUAUUUUCUUAUAUUAAACGCGUUCUGUGCAAUUUUGCACCUUCAAAUUUUCUAUUAAUAUUUAUAUCAUUGUAUUUAUUAUGUUCAAGUUAAUUAGAUUCAGGUACAUGAAAUUUCGUACUAUGUGUUUGUUAGUAUCUUUAAAUAUAAUUCGAAAAAUUUGAUAUUACGAAAGCGAAGCGUAAAGCCUGAUAACGUGAGCGCGAUUGAAAUUAAUAAAUACUAUAAUCCUUCGAAUUUUAUUUUUAGAAGAAGAGAGUACAUUUUGUAUUAUACAAUAUUAAUUGAUACCAUCGAUACAAUUUCGAGAGACGUUUUAUCUUAAUCUAUUAUUGGAUAUUAUUGUGUUUAACAAUUGAUAUGAUCUAUUAUUCCCUUCUUCGCCUCCUGGUUUCAUGUAUAUUUUAUAUAAUUAAUCGUAACUCAAUCCGCUUUUAUUUACUCAAAAAAAAAAAAAAAAAAAAAAAAAACGUGAAUAAAUACGUAAAAAGUCGGAGGAAAAUAUCUUAUACGUUGCUUCAUAGAUGCUGAUUAUACUAAUGUAAUAGACAUGUGAAGGUGUCAUAAUUUCAAAGAGGAUAAUUUAUUAUGAUGUUAUGAAUUCGUACUCCAAAGUUCAUCAAAUUCUAAGGAUAAAAAUAGCAAUUAAUGAUAAAUUAUUAAUGAAUUUUUCAAAACUUUUUGUCGCAUUAUUACCAUCGCCUUGAGAAUAACAUAGGAAGGAAAUAUUUGCAAAGUCAUAUCUUAUAAAAUGCACGUGUUAUAUGCCAAUCGAUAUAUUUUAACGCAUAGAUUACGAAAAUAUUAGAAUAACCCUGUGGAAAAUAGUGGAAGAAAGAUUGCAAAUCAUAUGUAAUAUGAACAUAACUUUAGUUUUUAAGAAAUUAAUCUGUAAACCCUUUGUAAUUUAUAUUUCAUUAACAUACACAUAGCUAGAGAUGAAAUGUUACAUUAACAUAACAUUUUCUAUCGAGGAAAUUAAUCUAAUAAAUCAUUCCACAUUGUUGGAUACAUAUGCAGAUAGUGGUAAAAAAUGCAACUGUUUAGCUCUCGUAGUAGUCGCACACUUCUCAUGAACAUUAUCACGUAUGUUAAACGAAACAUUUCAAAAUUUUAUUGGUACUGUAACGACGCCCAAGUAUUAUGAUUAUUAAUAACUAUUAUUUGAUAGAAUUUUGGAUUUUUGGGAUUCCUUUUUUUGAGUUUUUUGUAAACGUAUAUAGAAAUUGCAAGAUGUAUAUAUUUUGCAGACACAAAAAUAUUUGAACAGGCAAUCAUUCACUUUAAUAGUUAUUAUAAUAUGCCUAAGAUUUUUCUACUAAUUAUUCAUAAUACUAACUUUUCACAAAAUAUAAGUUUACAGUAAAUACCUUGCAACUUCUAAGUAUGCAUGUAUAUUUUCAAAUUGGAUUUGAGUUUUGCCGACAUAGUCAUAUCAGUCGUGUCUCAUCACAGCGUUAAUAAAAUUUCAGAAUGUUUUAUAUAAUACGCAUGACACGCACAUGAAAAUUUUUCAUGGUAAAUGUACGAAUACCUUUGCGAGCCAAUUUGUAUGUAUACAUAUGGAUAUAUAUUUGAUCUUUAUAUCUUUCUAAUAUCUUCGGAUAUAGAUAAUAUCAUAGCAUAUACUGAAGUCAUAUAUCGGUCGUAUAUACCUAUGUAUUAUGACAAAGUAUUUUCUAUUUUUAACCUCAUCUAAUGUCUCGCUGAUAAACCACACCCGCGGAAAUGGACAUUCGAUAACAACCUACUAUUAAUGGCUUCUCUUCAGCUUAACGAACGUAAGACGUGCUCGUAAAUCUAUCUACUUUAAUGAUCAACGAUAAUGCGACAUAUCGACAUUUGCAGUUAUACAUGGAUUUUAAUAUACCGCACGAUCUUUGAUUUUCUAUCGAAACUACUUCGAAGCGUUGUUCCGUAGAAAGAAGAACUUCAAGAAUUCAUUAAACGUUACCGGGGACGGUAAAAGACGAAAUCAGGUAAUCCGAAAAUCCCCAAAAACACAGAGGAAUCUGUUUUCAGCUGAAUCUUGACGUCAUCGUUUACCGAAGUCGAUUUGUACUGCAAUUUUUAUCUUGUACCACGAGGUAAGGAGUUAAAAUCUUCUGCUUAUUCACACGAUUAUUUCAGAUACAUUUUUUUCGCGUCAUGAGUUAAUAUUUGUCCAAUUCAUAAUCAAACUGCCAGUUAUAAUGGAAAAUUUGUAAUUUGCAUCGAACGAUAAGGAACGGCCAUCUGCCUGAGCUGCAAAGGUUUUCUUAAUUACAUUCUGUUAUUUUAUCCUUUUGGAUUGUUUUAUUAAUCUUGUGCAUUAUUUGUACAAGCUAAACCAACCUUUUUCCCGUUUGCGUCAGCCACAGUUUAUACAACAAGUAAUGAAAGAACAUAUACAAAGUGUUUCUGAAUAGAACGGUUAUCAGUAUGAGAAAUAUUUAUGGUAAACGAUAUUUCAUCUGAUUAUGCACUACACCUGAAGGAGAAAAGAGAAAAAGAAAUUAAAAUUUCCUACAGCUGCUUAAGACAAGAAACUCACAAUCAGUUACCAACUCGAAAUUCGUUAAUUGGAUAAAAUACAUGCCUAUACAUACAUAUAUUAAAAGGAUCGGAAAACGUAUUUACGUAAUACUUCUCAUCGUUUAGGAUUGCAUCGAAGAACCACGUACUACUCAUUUUAUGAGACUGAAUGAUAAAUCUGAUAAGAUUUUAGAAUAACAUGUUUAUAAAAUAUAAAUACUUCGGUUAUCAAUAUUCCUAAAGUUAGAUGAAAGAAUUUAAUUGUAAAGAAAUGAUUAAGAAAUGUCUGAGAGACAAAUAGAUGAUAAUCCUGCUUCUUAAUGACCAUCGU